This 510-nucleotide ribosomal RNA is filed under the name uncultured bacterium. RNAcentral's name for it is "bacterial SSU rRNA". It matches the Rfam family "Bacterial small subunit ribosomal RNA", at positions 29 to 530 of the family's 1533-position model. The record is from RNAcentral.
AUUGAACGCUGGCGGCAUGCUUUACACAUGCAAGUCGAACGGUAACAGGGAGCUUGCUCCGCUGACGAGUGGCGAACGGGGUGAGUAAUGCAUCGGAACGUACCGUGUAAUGGGGGAUAACGUAGCGAAAGUUACGCUAAUACCGCAUACGCCCUGAGGGGGAAAUGGGGGACCGCAAGGCCUCACGUUAUACGAGCGGCCGAUGUCGGAUUAGCUAGUUGGUGGGGUAAAGGCCUACCAAGGCGACGAUCCGUAGCGGGUCUGAGAGGAUGAUCCGCCACACUGGGACUGAGACACGGCCCAGACUCCUACGGGAGGCAGCAGUGGGGAAUUUUGGACAAUGGGGGCAACCCUGAUCCAGCCAUGCCGCGUGAGUGAAGAAGGCCUUCGGGUUGUAAAGCUCUUUCAGGUGGAAAGAAAUCUCCCGGGUGAAUACCCUGGGAGGAUGACGGUACCAUCAGAAGAAGCACCGGCUAACUACGUGCCAGCAGCCGCGGUAAAGUCACGUCG